CGGCGGACGGGUGAGUAAUGCCUAGGAAUCUGCCUGGUAGUGGGGGACAACGUUUCGAAAGGAACGCUAAUACCGCAUACGUCCUACGGGAGAAAGCAGGGACCUUCGGGCCUUGCGCUAUCAGAUUAGCCUAGGUCGGAUUAGCUAGUUGGUGAGGUAAUGGCUCACCAAGGCGACGAUCCGUAACUGGUCUGAGAGGAUGAUCAGUCACACUGGAACUGAGACACGGUCCAGACUCCUACGGGAGGCAGCAGUC
Molecule: ribosomal RNA, 256 nt
Filed under: uncultured Pseudomonas sp.
Lineage: Bacteria; Pseudomonadati; Pseudomonadota; Gammaproteobacteria; Pseudomonadales; Pseudomonadaceae
Description: partial 16S ribosomal RNA
Rfam family: Bacterial small subunit ribosomal RNA
Source: RNAcentral